UUGUGAUUAGGGUGGUAGUGACACGGACGUCUUCCAGAGAAUUUCUCGGAGGGGCAUGUCGGGAGCCAGCAACCGCGGUAAUUCCAGCUCCAAUAGCGUAUAUUACAAUUGUUGCAGUUAAAAAGCUCGUAGUUGAAUUUCUGCUGUAUUGCAUUUUCUCUUUUUAUAUGAGUUUUUGCAUUAUGGCUUAUUUCAGUAUUAAUUUUUUAUUAUUACUGAAUGUUUACUUUGAGAAAAUUAGAGUGCUCAAAGCAGGCUUUUGCCUUGAAUAGUUUAGCAUGGAAUAUAAAAGUAGGACUUUGGUUCUAUUUUGUUGGUUUUAGGUACCAAAGUAAUGGUUAAUAGGAACAGUUGGGGGCAUUCGUAUUUAACUGUCAGAAGGUGAAAUUCUUAGAA
RNAcentral lists this ribosomal RNA (396 nucleotides) under Theileria sp. OT3. RNAcentral's name for it is "bacterial SSU rRNA". It matches the Rfam family "Eukaryotic small subunit ribosomal RNA", at positions 503 to 925 of the family's 1831-position model. Lineage: Eukaryota; Apicomplexa; Aconoidasida; Piroplasmida; Theileriidae. The record is from RNAcentral.